CAGGUGGUGCAUGGUUGUCGUCAGCUCGUGUCGUGAGAUGUUGGGUUAAGUCCCGCAACGAGCGCAACCCCUAUUGUUAGUUGCCAUCAUUUAGUUGGGCACUCUAGCGAGACUGCCGGUAAUAAACCGGAGGAAGGUGGGGAUGACGUCAAAUCAUCAUGCCCCUUAUGACCUGGGCUACACACGUGCUACAAUGGCUGGUACAACGAGUCGCAAGCCGGUGACGGCAAGCUAAUCUCUUAAAGCCAGUCUCAGUUCGGAUUGUAGGCUGCAACUCGCCUACAUGAAGUCGGAAUCGCUAGUAAUCGCGGAUCAGCACGCCGCGGUGAAUACGUUCCCGGGCCUUGUACACACCGCCCGUCACACCACGAGAGUUUGUAACACCCGAAGUCGGUGAGGUAACCGUAAGGAGCCAGCCGCCUAAGGUGGGAUAGAUGAUUGGGGUGAAGUCGUAACAAGGUAGCCGUAUCGGAAGGUGCGGCUGGAUCACCUCCUUUCUAAGGA
Molecule: ribosomal RNA, 504 nt
Filed under: Streptococcus pneumoniae
Lineage: Bacteria; Bacillati; Bacillota; Bacilli; Lactobacillales; Streptococcaceae
Description: bacterial SSU rRNA
Rfam family: Bacterial small subunit ribosomal RNA
Source: RNAcentral